GGCAGCUUAAUGCAGUGGUUUGAAUGUUAGACUAGGAUUCUGGGAGACCAGGAUUCAAAUUCCUGCUCAGCCA
RNAcentral lists this transfer RNA (73 nucleotides) under Anolis carolinensis (green anole). It matches the Rfam family "tRNA". Rfam says of the family: Transfer RNA (tRNA) molecules are approximately 80 nucleotides in length. Their secondary structure includes four short double-helical elements and three loops (D, anti-codon, and T loops). Further hydrogen bonds mediate the characteristic L-shaped molecular structure. tRNAs have two regions of fundamental functional importance: the anti-codon, which is responsible for specific mRNA codon recognition, and the 3' end, to which the tRNAs corresponding amino acid is attached (by aminoacyl-tRNA synthetases). tRNAs cope with the degeneracy of the genetic code in two manners: having more than one tRNA (with a specific anti-codon) for a particular amino acid; and 'wobble' base-pairing, i.e. permitting non-standard base-pairing at the 3rd anti-codon position. Lineage: Eukaryota; Metazoa; Chordata; Lepidosauria; Squamata; Anolidae. The record is from Rfam by way of RNAcentral.